Catharus ustulatus (Swainson's thrush) is the source of this 545-nucleotide long non-coding RNA. RefSeq lists it as uncharacterized. The record is from RefSeq and is a predicted model, not a curated record. The transcript has 4 exons. NCBI's taxonomy places the organism in Eukaryota, Metazoa, Chordata, Aves, Passeriformes, Turdidae.
GCGGAAGCGGCGGCGGAAGCGGCGGGAGCGGGCGGAGCGAGCGGAGCCAUGUCGGGCCGGGAGGGCGGCAAGAAGAAGCCGCUGAAGCAGCCGAAGAAGCAGACGAAGGACCUGGAUGAGACGGAUCUGGCAUUCAAACAAAAACAAAAGGAAGAGCAAAAGAAACUUGAGGAGAUGAAAGCAAAAGCUGCUGGGAAGGGGCCCCUGGCCAGUGGUGGAAUAAAGAAGUCUGGCAAAAAGUAGCUUGAUCAAACUGCAGGGUAAGAAGCGAUCAAGUUACUCAAUGGACCUGCAGACUUCAGAGAGUCUUGAAAACACUCUUUCAUUUGGGAAACAUUGUACAUUUUGUUUUGUCAGAAUAAAUCUUUUUUGUUAAGAUGUGAUAUUUGCUCUUUACCUGUAGGUUUUGUUUAAAAAUGGCUUUACUGUUUUAUACUGGAAAUGAAACUUUACUGAAGACCAUGUAUACCCUUGUGCAGCCUGAGUGCAUCUGGUGGUUUGGUAGUCAUUUGUGAGAAUAAAUUUCAACUUCUCCUCUCUUUUGA